This 460-nucleotide ribosomal RNA is filed under the name uncultured bacterium. RNAcentral's name for it is "partial 16S ribosomal RNA". It matches the Rfam family "Bacterial small subunit ribosomal RNA", at positions 338 to 795 of the family's 1533-position model. The record is from RNAcentral.
CCUACGGGCGACAGCAGUGAGGAAUAUUGGUCAAUGGGCGGGAGCCUGAACCAGCCAAGCCGCGUGAAGGAAGACGGUACAACGGAUCGUAAACCUCUUUUAUCAGGGAACAAAGGCGGGGACUCGUCCCCUGAUGAGGGUACCUGAAGACAAAGCAUCGGCUAACUCCGUGCCAGCAGCCGCGGUAAUACGGAGGAUCCGAGCGUUCUCCGGAUUUAUGGGGUUUAAAGGGAGCGUAGAUGGUUUGUUAAGUCAGUUGUGAAAGUUUGCGGCUCAACCGUAAAAUUGAAAUUGAUACUGGCAGUCUUGAGUACAGUUGAGGUAGGCGGAAUUCGUGGUGUAGCGGUGAAAUGCUUAGAUAUCACGAAGAACCCCGAUUGCGAAGGCAGCUUACUAAACUGCCACUGACAUUGAUGCUCGAAAGUGUGGGUAUCAAACAGGAUUAGAUACCCGAGUAGUC